UAUGUGAUCGUCUCUCGCAUAUCAAUAAGCGGAGGAAAAGAAACUAACAAGGAUUCCCCUAGUAACGGCGAGUGAAGCGGGAAGAGCUCAAAUUUGAAAUCUUAAAGGGUUUCCCUUUACGAAUUGUAGUUUAAAGAAGUGUUUUCUGUUGAGGUUUUGGUAAAAGUUCUUUGGAAUAGGACAUCAUAGAGGGUGAGAAUCCCGUAUUUGACCUUUACUUUCAACUUUGUGAUACACUUUCAAAGAGUCGGAUUGUUUGGGAAUGCAGUCCAAAAUGGGUGGUAAAUUUCAUCUAAAGCUAAAUAUUGGCGAGAGACCGAUAGCGAACAAGUACCGUGAGGGAAAGAUGAAAAGAACUUUGAAAAGAGAGUUAAACAGUACGUGAAAUUGUCAAAGAGGGAAGCGUUUGACACCAGUGUUGUUUUUCUGAAAAUCAAUUAAAGAACUGUUUAUGCUAAGUUGUUUAGACUUUAUCAGCUAUCUGUUUAGUUUUGAGCUUUUCUUUAAUGCACUUUUCAGUUAACAAGUCAACAUCAAUUUCUUUUGCUGUAAAAAAGCUUGAGGAAGGUGGCUUGAGAUUCGUCUUAAGUGUUUAUAGCCUCUUGCCUAUGCAGUCGGAGAGAUUGAGGUCUGCAGCGUAGAUCCUUCGGGGCUAAAUGCAUUUGUGCUAAGUUAUAACAUUUUAUAGACAACUUGUUGACUAUGAUUUGUCUUGUAGCUUACUCGCUUAUGUUAUUUUACCUACGCUUAGGAUGUUGAGUAGCGACAUACGCAC
Molecule: ribosomal RNA, 775 nt
Filed under: uncultured Neocallimastigales
Lineage: Eukaryota; Fungi; Neocallimastigomycota; Neocallimastigomycetes; Neocallimastigales
Description: partial large subunit ribosomal RNA
Rfam family: Eukaryotic large subunit ribosomal RNA
Source: RNAcentral